This is a long non-coding RNA of Spinacia oleracea (spinach), 2236 nucleotides long. RefSeq lists it as uncharacterized. The record is from RefSeq and is a predicted model, not a curated record. The transcript is spliced from 2 exons. NCBI's taxonomy places the organism in Eukaryota, Viridiplantae, Streptophyta, Magnoliopsida, Caryophyllales, Amaranthaceae.
UCGCGAUUAACAAAUUACGCUUCAACCUCGCGACCACACAGUUGUAGAAUAAUUCGCCCAAACUCGGAAUUCUGCCGGUUACUCAAGUUCUUUGAGAGGACAAAGAAAGAGAGUGAAGAGAGGGAGAAAAAUCGAGGAGUGAAGAGAGAGAAACCAAACCAGAAAUUCGAGGAGAGAGACACAGUUUUACUCAGUUACCCAAUUCUUUCCUCCACCUCAUCCCGUAACGGACUCCACGUAGGAAACGGGCUCAAAGUUUGAAUUACACGCGAAAAGACGAAAAUACCGCUACGCCAUCCUCCUCUCCUCACCACGAUAAACUGCCUCCUCUGAUCAAGUCAGGCGAACCUUCUCACUUUCCGUCCCAUCUCCUCCACAACAGCAGCAGAAUCAGAGAGGGUAACUCUGUGCUACCUUGUCCGCUACUCUGCUACCUUGUCCUCCUACUCUGCUACCUCUCCCUUCCUAAACUCUCCCUCAGUCCCUUUCCCUCCAUCUUACCAGUAUCAGGUAAUUAUCAUUUUUCCCAAGGUAGUUUCGAUUUUUAGGGUUUUUGUUGCUAUGAUUUUGUGCUAUUUUAACCCUUUCUAUUCAAACCCUUUUCUUACUUGGACCGGCGACUAGAGCAUCCAGCGUUGGUUUGAGAAAUCUUAAUCGUUAGUCGGUUAGUCCUCUAGGAGAUUUGGGGUUAAUUGUUUUAUGCCUACUAAUUUCUAUUGGAAAAUUACGAAUUCAUAUUCUGUUAAUGAUAAGGGGAAAUAAUGACCUACUCCGUAUCCAAUAGUUUUUUUUUCUUCCAAUCCAAAUAACCAUUUAAGAAUCCGUAGUUUUUUUAAAUCUUCAAUUGAUUGAAUACUAAGAUUGGGAUGUACAAAUGCUCGUUGUUCAUAUACUGUGUAUUUUGGUGGCGUUUGGUUUGAAUUUUAUCAAUUUGUUAUUGAAUUAGUUCACGUUUCUUGAGCUCGUGACAAAUUUGCGUCUGAAAUUUUUUAAUUUUGCUUUACUUUGUUCGAAAAUAUGAAUAUAUACUCCGUAUGUUUUUUGGGGAUUUUUAGGGAACCUUUGUAUAUUAUUAGGUUGGAUCUGCUAUAAAAAAAUAAAGGCAAUUUGGGAUGCCACUCAAUUUACAUUUAUUGUUAAUUUCUUAGUGUCAAUUGCAGCUACUUUGGAUUUCUAUUUUUUUGUUGUAUUUUAGAAUUUCUGAAAGAAUUUAUGAACUAUGGUUGGCAUUUUGAAACUGUAGGACCGGGGAUUGACUUCUCCUCCCUUGGUUUUGGAUUGAAUUCCCUCUAGUGAACUUACUCUAAUAGUUGUACACUUUAAUGCCUUUAUCACACUGGAAUUUUACAGUUGCUUGGGUUGUGUCUUGUGCAAAUGUUUAGGACACAGACUUAACUAUAGAACAUAUCUUGCAAAUAUUGGGCAUUUUAGAUACAAUCUUGGUCAAUGCCAAUUAAGGAUUCGUAUAGAUCUUCCUUGAUUUUCUGUUGUCAGUAGAUAGUGUCUGUAUUAGAUGAAAUGUCCUUAUUGUGUAAAGAAUGUUUAUUCUUUCUUUAGAUUUAUUCCUUUGUUACUAAUUACACUUGUUGGUUGUAUAAGCUGAAGUGAAAUAAUAUCUCAUAGCUAGCUACUGAAAUAGCUCAAACUAAACAACAUGAAGUUGCAGAGUUAGGUUCUGCCAUACUUGAAGAUCCAGAGUCAAAUAUUAAGUCUCUGAAAGAAUUACUAAGCUUCAGUGAAGAUGGUGAUAAAGCUAUUGCAAAGGUUGUAUGUUGUAGUUACCACAUCAGGCUUCCUUGUCAGAGCGAGAGAUGGUUGUUUCUAAGGCUGUAAAUAAGAUGCGGUAUUUUGAAUUAACGUUGUUAUUAUUCUCAUACAAGGUCAUAUUUAUUUAAGAAUUAAGAACAUCAAUAAUAGAUUUAUGUCGUACUUUCUUUUCCAUGUCAACAGUUUUCCAGGUUUUUGAAGAAUAAUCAACCGACAAACUUGAAAAUAUUAUAAAGUUCUUAUCCUCCUUUUAAGAUACAAGCUUAUGUUCAGAACAUAGAAGCACAUUUUUCAUGUGUUGUCUUUUCAAGAAUUCCACUAAAGAAAUCUUAUACUCCAUGUUUCUCAGUUUUGUUCAGAGAACUAGCUCAGAGCUCUCUGAUACGGAAACUCUCUAGUUAAGGGACUUUAUCAUAGAAUAUUCUCUCACCUUAUAAUUUAUUCUAAAUAGUACUAUUUACAACUUGAA